GGGCAGUGUGGGUGGGUGGCAGUGUGUGGGUCUGCACAAAUGUGUCUGGAUAUGCAGCACAUGGGCUGGUGUGUAAAUCCACCGUGUGUGAUUCUACUCACAGAUGACAGGAAGGGCUAAGUGUGAGCUUGCACGUGUGUGUGCAGGUGUGCUACUCUGGGGAGAUAGGAUCAAAUGGAGCCCCAGAGUCUGAAAUAAGAAGAGAGGAUAAUUUUUGCAGUGAAAGCAUUCCCUUCACAGUGGAGGGUUGGAAAACAAAUGGCUCUUCCAAAACAAACGGGGUUCGUUGGCCUCAGCACUGGAGAGAACUGCCAAGAGGCUGCUGGGCACAGGGCAUUUGUGCAUCCAAGAGCAAACAGGAGACUACACCUGGGGCUUCUCAAAGAUACACAAAGAGACAGUGAGAGGCAGCAGCAGGAGCCCACAAAGACGUGGACAAAUCAUGAGGCCACUAACCACUGAAAAGACCUGGGACAAGGUUCAGCAGCAUCUGGCAAAUGUAGAAUCUGCUCAAAAAAUGUUUAUGGAAGAAGAAAAAAAUCACAAAACCUUGAGGAAAGAAAGAAGACAGGCAGCAACCCUGUGAGACCCUUACCUCAGGAGAGGGAAGCAGGAAACAUAAGGAGACAUUUAUUUUAAGUAAACUAUAAAUAUCAGACUACAACAAAUUAA
Long non-coding RNA from Cyanistes caeruleus (blue tit), 672 nucleotides. RefSeq lists it as uncharacterized. The record is from RefSeq and is a predicted model, not a curated record. Lineage: Eukaryota; Metazoa; Chordata; Aves; Passeriformes; Paridae.